UACAUGGGGUGCAAACGUUGCUCGGAAUUAUUGGGCGUAAAGCGCGUGUAGGCGGGCCGAUAAGUCAGGCGUGAAAUCCCCGAGCUCAACUCGGGAACUGCACCUGAAACUGCCGGCCUAGAGUGAUGGAGAGGGUAGCGGAAUUCCUGGUGUAGAAGUGAAAUUCGUAGAUAUCAGGAGGAACACCGGUGGCGAAGGCGACUACCUGGACAUUAACUGACGCUGAGACGCGAAAGCGUGGGGAGCAAACAGG
RNAcentral lists this ribosomal RNA (253 nucleotides) under uncultured bacterium. RNAcentral's name for it is "partial 16S ribosomal RNA". It matches the Rfam family "Bacterial small subunit ribosomal RNA", at positions 524 to 776 of the family's 1533-position model. The record is from RNAcentral.